This 408-nucleotide ribosomal RNA is filed under the name uncultured bacterium. RNAcentral's name for it is "bacterial SSU rRNA". It matches the Rfam family "Bacterial small subunit ribosomal RNA", at positions 506 to 916 of the family's 1533-position model. The record is from RNAcentral.
UGCCAGCCGCCGCGGUAAUACGGAGGGUGCAAGCGUUAUCCGGAUUUAUUGGGUUUAAAGGGUGCGUAGGCGGCACUUUAAGUCAGUGGUGAAAUCCUGCAGCUCAACUGUAGAACAGCCAUUGAAACUGAAGUACUUGAGUAAUCUUGAGGUAGGCGGAAUGUGUAGUGUAGCGGUGAAAUGCUUAGAUAUUACACAGAACACCGAUUGCGAAGGCAGCUUACUAAGGAUUUACUGACGCUGAUGCACGAAAGCGUGGGGAUCAAACAGGAUUAGAUACCCUGGUAGUCCACGCCGUAAACGAUGAUAACUCGCUGUUGGCGAUACACAGUCAGCGGCUUAGCGAAAGCGUUAAGUUAUCCACCUGGGGAGUACGCUCGCAAGAGUGAAACUCAAAGGAAUUGGCGG